GGUGAGUAAUGUCUGGGAAACUGCCUGAUGGGGGGGGAUAACUACUGGAAACGGUAGCUAAUACCGCAUAACGUCGCAAGACCAAAGAGGGGGACCUUCGGGCCUCUUGCCAUCGGAUGUGCCCAGAUGGGAUUAGCUUGUUGGUGGGGUAACGGCUCACCAAGGCGACGAUCCCUAGCUGGUCUGAGAGGAUGACCAGCCACACUGGAACUGAGACACGGUCCAGACUCCUACGGGAGGCAGCAGUGGGGAAUAUUGCACAAUGGGCGCAAGCCUGAUGCAGCCAUGCCGCGUGUAUGAAGAAGGCCUUCGGGUUGUAAAGUACUUUCAGCGGGGAGGAA
RNAcentral lists this ribosomal RNA (341 nucleotides) under Escherichia coli. Its description in RNAcentral is "bacterial SSU rRNA". It matches the Rfam family "Bacterial small subunit ribosomal RNA", at positions 105 to 449 of the family's 1533-position model. The record is from RNAcentral. Lineage: Bacteria; Pseudomonadati; Pseudomonadota; Gammaproteobacteria; Enterobacterales; Enterobacteriaceae.